UACGGAGGGUGCGAGCGUUAAUCGGAAUUACUGGGCGUAAAGCGCGCGUAGGCGGCCCGGUCAGUCUGGCGUGAAAUCCCCGGGCUCAACCUGGGAACUGCGCUGGAUACUGCCGGGCUGGAGUGUGGUAGAGGGCGGUGGAAUUUCCGGUGUAGCAGUGAAAUGCGUAGAGAUCGGAAGGAACACCAGUGGCGAAGGCGGCCGCCUGGGCCAACACUGACGCUGAGGCGCGAAAGCGUGGGGAG
Molecule: ribosomal RNA, 245 nt
Filed under: uncultured bacterium
Lineage: Bacteria
Description: partial 16S ribosomal RNA
Rfam family: Bacterial small subunit ribosomal RNA
Source: RNAcentral